Molecule: ribosomal RNA, 253 nt
Filed under: uncultured bacterium
Lineage: Bacteria
Description: partial 16S ribosomal RNA
Rfam family: Bacterial small subunit ribosomal RNA
Source: RNAcentral
UACGUAAGGUGCAAGCGUUGUCCGGAAUUAUUGGGCGUAAAGAGCUCGUAGGCGGUUUGUUGCGUCGGCUGUGAAAUCCCGAGGCUCAACCUCGGGUCUGCAGUCGAUACGAGCAAACUAGAGUGUUGCAGGGGAGACUGGAAUUCCUGGUGUAGCGGUGAAAUGCGCAGAUAUCAGGAGGAACACCGGUGGCGAAGGCGGGUCUCUGGGCAACAACUGACGCUGAGGAGCGAAAGCGUGGGGAGCGAACAGG